This 371-nucleotide ribosomal RNA is filed under the name uncultured organism. RNAcentral describes it as "partial 16S ribosomal RNA". It matches the Rfam family "Bacterial small subunit ribosomal RNA", at positions 527 to 896 of the family's 1533-position model. The record is from RNAcentral.
GUAGGUGGCAAGCGUUGUCCGGAAUUAUUGGGCGUAAAGCGCGCGCAGGCGGUCCUUUAAGUCUGAUGUGAAAGCCCACGGCUCAACCGUGGAGGGUCAUUGGAAACUGGGGGACUUGAGUACAGAAGAGGAAAGUGGAAUUCCACGUGUAGCGGUGAAAUGCGUAGAGAUGUGGAGGAACACCAGUGGCGAAGGCGACUUUCUGGUCUGUAACUGACGCUGAGGCGCGAAAGCGUGGGGAGCAAACAGGGAUUAGAUACCCUGGUAGUCCACGCCGUAAACGAUGAGUGCUAAGUGUUAGAGGGUUUCCGCCCUCUAGUGCUGCAGCUAACGCAUUAAGCACUCCGCCUGGGAGUACGGCCGCAAGGCUG